AUUAUUUCUUAUUCAGAGUAAAAUUUUGCCUCCUACCUCUAGAACUACACAGAGUAAACCUUAUACCUCUCCUAUGUGAACGUCUUUCUGAUUUUUAAGAAUAACCACCCUAAUAUCCUGAGUCAACUCAGCUGAAGGAUAUGAUUCUUCAUGCAUAACGGCUCUACAGUCUCUUCAGCUUCACCGUUUUUAGAUGCAUUUCCAUUUCCUAAAGUUUCACCUGACUCAUGAUGUCCAGAAGUGACCAUGAUACUUCAAAUGCGGAGAGCUCAAACAUAUCGAAGUCCCACUAGGUCGUGGGUACUGGACCACACCAAUGCACAAAACAAAACUAGUUCCUGCCCUCAGGAGUCUAUGGAUCAUUGACCCUAUCAUCAUGAUCAUUAUUGUUGCGUCAUCCUUACUUUGGAGAGUAUGCUAUAUCUACCUUUGAAGAUUCCCACAGUAAACUUGUCAGAGUCAGUCUUGAAGGAUCAUUGGUUUGUUCCAGAUCAUAGUUUUUGUCUUUUGGUGACAAUACAUUUGUGAAAGGUUUAUGACUUUCUUAACAGACACAGUACUGGCUGGAUCCAAUUUUAAAUAAACCAGGUAGAAUGAUGGAAACAAGUAGUAAUGCCCUUUUCCUCCAUGCAACAUUUACUCUAUUCGGCAUAUGAGCUCAAGAUGACUGCUAAGCCCGCAGAACUUAUUUUUAAUUCAUUUUUAAAUAAAAAUGUUAUCAUAUGAGUAAAGCAGUGAGCCAUAUUUAACUUAUGAAGCCAUACAUUUAAGGAAUAUAUUCGAUUUGGAAAAUUACCCACAUAGCCUUGAAAUAAUCUCAAUACCAUGUUUGCACUUUUUUUUUUUUUAAAGAUUUUAUUUAUUUAUUUGACAGAGAGAAAUCACAAGUAGAUGGA
Neogale vison (American mink) is the source of this 896-nucleotide long non-coding RNA. RefSeq lists it as uncharacterized. NCBI's taxonomy places the organism in Eukaryota, Metazoa, Chordata, Mammalia, Carnivora, Mustelidae. The record is from RefSeq and is a predicted model, not a curated record. The transcript is spliced from 3 exons.